Ameiurus melas (black bullhead) is the source of this 73-nucleotide non-coding RNA. The record is from the annotation of a GenBank genome assembly. NCBI's taxonomy places the organism in Eukaryota, Metazoa, Chordata, Actinopteri, Siluriformes, Ictaluridae.
GGGGGGGUGACUUAGUGGUUAGCAUGUUUGCCUCGCACCUCCAAGGCUGUGGGUUCUAAUCCUGCCUCUUCCA